RNAcentral lists this ribosomal RNA (509 nucleotides) under Calligrapha panzoensis. RNAcentral describes it as "partial 16S ribosomal RNA". The stretch from base 382 to 509 matches the Rfam family "Archaeal large subunit ribosomal RNA", at positions 2544 to 2671 of the family's 2987-position model. The record is from RNAcentral. Lineage: Eukaryota; Metazoa; Arthropoda; Insecta; Coleoptera; Chrysomelidae.
GUYUUUUUGUUAAAAAUUUAAAGUCGGGCCUGCCCACUGAGAUUUAAAUGGCCGUGGUAUUUUGACCGUGCUAAGGUAGCAUAAUCAUUAGUUUUUUAAUUGAAAGCUGGAAUGAAGGGUUUGAUAAAAAAAUGACUGUCUCUAUUUAAUUUUAUUAAAAUUUUAUUUUUAAGUUCAAAAGCUUAAGUGGGAUUAAAAGACGAGAAGACCCUAUAGAGUUUUAUAAUUUAAGAUAAUUUAUAUUUUAGAAUUAAUUUAUUUAUUUUUUAAUAUUAUUUAAUUGGGGUGAUUGAAAAAUUUAAUUAACUUUUUUUAUAUUUAACCAUUAAUUUAUGAUUAUUUGAUCCAAUUUUUUUGAUUAUAAGAUAAAAUUACCUUAGGGAUAACAGCGUAAUUUUUUUAGAAAGUUCAAAUUAAAAAAAAAGAUUGCGACCUCGAUGUUGGAUUAAAAUUAAGUUUUGGUGUAGAAGCUAAAAAUUUUAAGUCUGUUCGACUUUUAAAAUUUUACA